UUCCGUAGGUGAACUGCGGAGGGAUCAUUACCGAGUUAUACAACUCAUCAACCCUGUGAACAUACCUAAAACGUUGCUUCGGCGGGAACAGACGGCCCUGUAACAACGGGCCGCCCCCGCCAGAGGACCCCUAACUCUGUUUUUAUAAUGUUUUUCUGAGUAAACAAGCAAAUAAAUUAAAACUUUCAACAACGGAUCUCUUGGCUCUGGCAUCGAUGAAGAACGCAGCGAAAUGCGAUAAGUAAUGUGAAUUGCAGAAUUCAGUGAAUCAUCGAAUCUUUGAACGCACAUUGCGCCCGCCAGUAUUCUGGCGGGCAUGCCUGUUCGAGCGUCAUUACAACCCUCAGGCCCCCGGGCCUGGCGUUGGGGAUCGGCGGAAGCCCCCUGUGGGCACACGCCGUCCCUCAAAUACAGUGGCGGUCCCGCCGCAGCUUCCAUUGCGUAGUAGCUAACACCUCGCAACUGGAGAGCGGCGCGGCCAUGCCGUAAAACACCCAACUUCUGAAUGUUGACCUCGAAUCAGGUAGGAAUACCCGCUGAACUUAAGCAUAUCAAUAAGCGGAGGA
Molecule: small RNA, 566 nt
Filed under: Fusarium solani
Lineage: Eukaryota; Fungi; Ascomycota; Sordariomycetes; Hypocreales; Nectriaceae
Description: eukaryotic LSU rRNA
Rfam family: 5.8S ribosomal RNA (bases 181-334)
Source: RNAcentral